This 506-nucleotide ribosomal RNA is filed under the name uncultured bacterium. Its description in RNAcentral is "partial 16S ribosomal RNA". It matches the Rfam family "Bacterial small subunit ribosomal RNA", at positions 28 to 523 of the family's 1533-position model. The record is from RNAcentral.
GAUGAACGCUAGCUACAGGCUUAACACAUGCAAGUCGAGGGGUAACGAGAGGAAAGCUUGCUUUCCUUGUCGACGACCGGCGCACGGGUGAGUAACGCGUAUCCAACCUGCCCCCAACUAGGGAAUAACCUUGCGAAAGUAAGACUAAUACCCUAUAAUUUCCUCAGAUGUCAUCUGACGAGGAAUAAAGAUUUAUCGGUUGUGGAUGGGGAUGCGUCUGAUUAGCUUGUGGGAGGGGUAACGGCCCACCAAGGCAACGAUCAGUAGGGGUUCUGAGAGGAAGGUCCCCCACAUUGGAACUGAGACACGGUCCAAACUCCGACGGGAGGCAGCAGUGAGGAAUAUUGGUCAAUGGGCGGAAGCCUGAACCAGCCAAGUAGCGUGCAGGAUGACGGCCCUAUGGGUUGUAAACUGCUUUUAUACAGGAAUAAAGUUAGCCACGUGUGGUUAUUUGUAGGUACUGUAUGAAUAAGGACCGGCUAAUUCCGUGCCAGCCGCCGCAGUAA